UGGGGACGGGGCUUGAGCUGUCUAAUCUGUAUCCUCUUGACUGAACAAUAAAUUUUUUAAAAUAUAUAUAUAUAACUUCCUCUAUUAAACACUUAAACCUGGCCAUCUUAUUAACUCCUCUCCUCUCUUAACAAGGUAAUGUUUUAAAUGUAGAGUUUUAGGAAAUGAUGAAUUCUGGCUGUUCUAAGCCAAAAAAAAAAAUGUAAGCCAUUAAUGCUAUGUUCUUCUUUUAAAUUCUUCUCUGUUGUAAGUACCCAAUCCAUUCUGUCCUUAUUUAAGUUCGGUGUUCAUGUUAAUGUUAACUAAAUGUCCUAAUUUCUGAGCCUUCAUCUAUCUGCAUGUCUGUUUUUUUUUUUUUUUUUUGUCUCUCUCCUUGUCGAAUUUCAAAACCAAAUUCAUGCCUUUAGACGAGAUAACUUUAGGCUUUAAGAAAUGUUUACAGUUUAUGCUAGCUAGCUUUAUUUCCAAUUAAUUUUAAGAUUUUCUUUAAGCAACCCUUCUUUUGAGGGCGACAGCUCUGGUUUCUCCAGUCUUGGGGGGGGGGAGGGAAGAGAGAAGAAAGCCCCACUCUUCUGCAGAGACUGAACUGGUCACAGGAAACUAGACUGAAACCCCUUCAAACAAGCCCUAAGCAAUUGCUUCCAAACGGCUUUAUUAAACUGGGCAGCCUUUUCUCUGGUCGUUGGGGCGAUCGGGGGGUGCGAAGGGGCUAACUCGCCUUUGUCUCCCGUUUUGCCUGAAGCGUCUGUUUUUUACCUUUUGUCUCAGAAAUGACUCUUAAUACCCUUGCCCUAGCCAGCCCCACCGGCGAAGCCAGCCAGCCUUCGGCCGAACCUUGGGAAAAGUUUGCUGAAUUCGAAGGCGAUGAAAUUGACAUGACAUUGUAACUGACAAAAAGGUAGUGACCUUCCCCCCAGCCCCGUGAUAACAAUAAUCAUCCCAACAAACUCCAACAAAAUGGUGGGGUUUUUUCUUACAAUAACAUCACCAAACCAACGCCCAAGUUCACCUUCCAGACUCCAUUGCGCCAAGCUGAGCACCGGUAAGUAAAAACGUGCCUUUUAAAAGCCCUUGGAACCACAGCGGCCGGAGCAGGCCCCGCGCCGCCGACUGCUCAGAGCCGAGGGGCUGAGCCUGCUUGGGUCUCCCAGCCCCUGGUCGGUUGUGGUUGGCGAGGAGGGGCAGGCAGUGUGGACAGGAGACAGGCUAGCUAGAGACACUUUGGGACGGGAGGGGGGCGACGAGGCUCUGGUACCAAAGGACUUGAUGGCGUUUCUCCGUGGGGCUGAGGGGGUGCUUGGGGGGUGACUUCUUUCGGAGGGCAGGAACGCUCCCCACCAAGGCUUUCUGCGAUCCCGCACCCUUGACCACCCCCGCUUCUGGGGCGGGGGGGACGGGACGACGACUUUCGGAGCUUUUCUCUAUCGCCCAUCCAGCUUCUCCCCAGUUUGAGAGAAAAGAGUGGUUUGGGGGGUGGGCUUUGAAUCUGCCUCUCCAGGAGGACCCGGUUUGCUAAAUUCAGGGGCUCUCCCUCCCGCUGGAAGUUCGUGGGGGGAGCUGCUUCGCUCCUCCGGGCCAGCCCAGUGCGGCUCCCCCCGGAUCCCUGGGCGGCUCGGGCAGCGAGAAAAGGACAAGGGAGCGGCGUCCAUUUUGGCGCCAUGACGCAGCAGACCUUCCUUCCCGGGCUGCUGCAGCCCUGCCUGCUGCUUCUCCCCCUCGGCUCGGUUCCUCCUCCCUCUCCCACCCCGCUGCGCUCCAGUUUUAUUUUCGGGUUCCGAGAGCGCGCCCGGGGUGGUUGGGGCGGGCGGGCUGGGGUCGGGGCCGCUGGGCGCCCGGCCGGGCUGCUGGCUAAUGGCCGCUUCGAGCCCUCUGGUGUCCCUCCAUCUCCUGCUGCAGCCGCGAGUCCUGGAGCAGGAGGUGGCUUCGCCGAGCCGCAGGGCCUGCCCACGCCUAGCUCGGCUCUGGUCAGGAUGCCCAGAAACUCGGGGCUCACUUGGAUACCUGGGACACACACGGAAGCAGGCGGAGCCAGCCAGGGGUAAGAGUGAGUGCCCAGGACCGACCCAGCUUUAGCCUUCCCAGCCACAUGUUGUCUUAUGCAAUCUAGUACCUUCAAAGCCCCCCUCUUUAGUCAAGCCUUAUACCCCAAGUUCCGGGUGGGGCCGGGGACUGGCACCGGGGCCAACCAAAAACGGGCAGUUCCCUUGCUGGAGCCGGAUGUCUGCCAGCUGACUUCCAAAGAUGAAAGCCUAGUUUCUCGCUUGUUAUACGGUCUUUGGAGUGAACUCCAGGUUCUGGCUACAUCCCCCUUUCAACGGGGGGGAUGCUUCAAAUAACCUCCCCAGGACUUGGCUAGGGUAGCCCCCACCCCUCCUCACUAAAACCCAGCCCCUGGAGAGAACGGCAAGUGGUUCCUUAUUUAGGGGAGGGGGCCCCGGGAGGUUGGGGAGCCCACUCGUGGGCUCCUUCACGCCGAUUUCUCCACUCGGAAGCCAUUCGGUAAGUCCCUUCUGUUUUGGAGCGUUUUUCUCCCAGUGUGGGUGGGGAGGAGGGCUGAAGCAACCUUGGAAACCAGCUUUAUAAAUGGCAGCGGUUUCCUGCCUCUUCUCUCUCAGUGAAAGGCCUUUCUUUGGCAGCUUUCUUAUUCUGCUCCUCUCUCCCCACCCCCCUCCAGCCCCUCUACUGACCCUGGCAUGCCAGUAUUCCGGCAGAGUUGUUCAGAAAGUUAUAAGCCCCAAGUCAGGGGACUUAAGGAUUCCAACUCCACAAUAAAAACAGGAAAAACACGUUUGGUCUUUGUAUGUUUGCUCAGUUCUGGAUCUGACGGUAAACAACCUCUCCCUCCCCUUGGCUGGAGAAGGCCCCAUCUUUCCCCUGGGCCUCCCAGAGCAGUGACCAAGGUCACCCGACCUUCCGAGCCCUUCAGCUUGCUGGCCUUUGGCCCCGGCUCCCCGCUCCUCCUCCCCCACUGCCGACCUGGCCUGGAAAGCCCUUCCUACCUACCGCACCCCACCCCCCGCCCAAUGCCCCUGAACGUGUUUUCCUGGUGUGAGCUAGAACGCGGAGAAGGGGGUCUUGUGGGCCCCCCACGUCGGCUCCGGAUGCUCCGGGGGCCGGUUUUUUGUUCCCCCUCUUCGUGCGGAGGGAGACAAAGAGUGACUCCUUGUGGGCCGGAGCCGCAGCCCGGAAAGUCUCGGGGAACGAGGCCGACCUUGGCCCCAGAGCCAACUGUGGGGGCCCUAAAGCUGCCCGGAGGUCUCCUAGCCCAGAGGACCGGGCCCCCUCUGACUCGCCUGCCCAGGGACGGAAGAAAAAAAUCGGGACUCCCGGCACUUCUGACGCGAGAACGGGUCGAGCCCCCGGUUUCCCGCCCAGCUUGGCCAGAAGAGCCAUCAGGGUCCAGGAGCCAGAUAUAGAGCAGGAUGCCUGGAGGUGGCUCUGGAUGCAAUGGAAGACUUUAGCCUUAAAGCUAAGGGUUUCGACAGGUCUCAGUCUGAUGGAGGCAACACCCAUUCAGUGAUCGAGACUAGGAGAGUGGGCCACAGUGGAGAGAGCCCUGAUUUUGGCACCGGAGGAGCUUGGGCAUCCUUCCCAGCCCUGCUGCUUGGGAGGCAGUGUAGUUCAGUGGAGAGAAGGAUGAAUGGAGUCAGGAGUGGCUUCAGAUCUCAGCUCUUCGGCUUCCUACCUGUGUGACUGCAGGCAAGUGUUUGGGGCAAGUGCUCUGUGGGCCUCCACUAGAAAAUGGCAGCUGAACCAAAUGACUUGUAAAUUCUCUAAUCCUGGAGGUGCAGGGACAAACCCCGAUAUGCUCCUGCCCCUCCGAGAACCUUCACCCUGCCUUCAUUCAUCACCAUUAACAAGCAUCUAGAAACCACCUACCAUCUGUCAGGCGUCGUACUAAACCCCGGAGAUACAAAGGCAAAUGUUGUUCUUGUCUUCAAAGGAGCUCCCAGUCCAAUGAGAGAUGACAAUCGAACAGGACAGAAAGUGGGUGAGGCAGCCAGGUAGAACAGUGGCCCUGAAGUCGGAGGUUCUGAGUUCAAGUGCAGGCUUUAGACACUUAAUAUUUAUGUUGACCCUAGGCAAGUCUCCUAAUAUUGUGUGUAU
Sarcophilus harrisii (Tasmanian devil) is the source of this 4107-nucleotide RNA transcript. It is a transcript of the gene named basic salivary proline-rich protein 4, with no coding region annotated. The record is from RefSeq and is a predicted model, not a curated record. The transcript has 4 exons. Lineage: Eukaryota; Metazoa; Chordata; Mammalia; Dasyuromorphia; Dasyuridae.